GGGAAGAUACCCGAGUGGCCAAAGGGGACGGGCUGUAAACCCGUUGCGAUUCGCUUCGAAGGUUCGAAUCCUUCUCUUCCCA
This 82-nucleotide transfer RNA is filed under the name Deferribacteraceae bacterium. RNAcentral's name for it is "tRNA-Tyr". It matches the Rfam family "tRNA". Rfam says of the family: Transfer RNA (tRNA) molecules are approximately 80 nucleotides in length. Their secondary structure includes four short double-helical elements and three loops (D, anti-codon, and T loops). Further hydrogen bonds mediate the characteristic L-shaped molecular structure. tRNAs have two regions of fundamental functional importance: the anti-codon, which is responsible for specific mRNA codon recognition, and the 3' end, to which the tRNAs corresponding amino acid is attached (by aminoacyl-tRNA synthetases). tRNAs cope with the degeneracy of the genetic code in two manners: having more than one tRNA (with a specific anti-codon) for a particular amino acid; and 'wobble' base-pairing, i.e. permitting non-standard base-pairing at the 3rd anti-codon position. Lineage: Bacteria; Pseudomonadati; Deferribacterota; Deferribacteres; Deferribacterales; Deferribacteraceae. The record is from RNAcentral.